Molecule: ribosomal RNA, 316 nt
Filed under: Brevibacillus laterosporus
Lineage: Bacteria; Bacillati; Bacillota; Bacilli; Caryophanales; Paenibacillaceae
Description: bacterial LSU rRNA
Rfam family: Bacterial large subunit ribosomal RNA
Source: RNAcentral
GCUGAGGCCGAAAGGCGUAGGCGAUGGACAACUGGUUGAUAUUCCAGUACCACCUCUGUUCCGCUUGAGCAAUGGCGUGACGCAGGAGGAUAGGGUGAGCGGCCUAUUGGAUGGCCGUCUAAGCAGUAAGUGUGGUGUGUAGGCAAAUCCGCACACCAAUAAGCACAAGCUGUGAUGGCGAGGGAAAUAUAAGUACCGAAGUCCCUGAUUUCACACUGCCAAGAAAAGCGUCUAGCGAGGAACAAGGUGCCCGUACCGCAAACCGACACAGGUAGGCGAGGAGAGAAUCCUAAGGUGCGCGGGAUAACUCUUGCUA